RNAcentral lists this transfer RNA (72 nucleotides) under Pectobacterium phage PcCB7V. It matches the Rfam family "tRNA". Rfam says of the family: Transfer RNA (tRNA) molecules are approximately 80 nucleotides in length. Their secondary structure includes four short double-helical elements and three loops (D, anti-codon, and T loops). Further hydrogen bonds mediate the characteristic L-shaped molecular structure. tRNAs have two regions of fundamental functional importance: the anti-codon, which is responsible for specific mRNA codon recognition, and the 3' end, to which the tRNAs corresponding amino acid is attached (by aminoacyl-tRNA synthetases). tRNAs cope with the degeneracy of the genetic code in two manners: having more than one tRNA (with a specific anti-codon) for a particular amino acid; and 'wobble' base-pairing, i.e. permitting non-standard base-pairing at the 3rd anti-codon position. Lineage: Duplodnaviria; Heunggongvirae; Uroviricota; Caudoviricetes. The record is from Rfam by way of RNAcentral.
UGGGGUUUAGCCAAGCGGUAAGGCCCGGGGCUUUGAUCCCCGUAUGCGUUGGUUCAAAUCCAGCAACCCCAG